RNAcentral lists this unclassified non-coding RNA (217 nucleotides) under plant metagenome. RNAcentral describes it as "partial contains small subunit ribosomal RNA, internal transcribed spacer 1, and 5.8S ribosomal RNA". The record is from RNAcentral.
UUUCCGUAGGUGAACCUGCGGAAGGAUCAUUAGUGAACGCCCUCACGGGCUUAUAACUAUUCCAAACCAAACCCCUGUGAACCUUACGGGAUGGCCUGGGUUAGCGCCCGGUGCCGUUCCGCUUUAUACAAACACUUAUCAAAGAAUGAACUGAAGGCGGUCUGACCGCUGGAUAACAAAACUGAAACAACUUUCAACAACGGAUCUCUUGGCUCUC